Long non-coding RNA from Mizuhopecten yessoensis (Yesso scallop), 376 nucleotides. RefSeq lists it as uncharacterized. Lineage: Eukaryota; Metazoa; Mollusca; Bivalvia; Pectinida; Pectinidae. The transcript has 2 exons. The record is from RefSeq and is a predicted model, not a curated record.
UGGAAACUCACCGGCCGUAUUGCCAAGUGGUUGAGUUAUCUCGUGGAGGGCUUUAGGAUUAGUGAUAAGGUAGCUUGCUCGAAUAUAGAGCGAGUACGAGUUAUAGACAGGGUCAUGUUGUACUGAAUAUUUCACUAAAUUAUAGUGAAACUUGGAAACCCACCGGCCGUAUUGCCACGUGGUUGAGUUAUCUCGUGGAGGGCUUUAGGAUUAGUGAUAAGGUAGCUUGCUCGAAUAUAGAGCGAGUACGAGUUAUAGACAGGGUCAUGUUGUACUGAAUAUUUCACUAAAUUGUAGUGAAACUUGGAAACCCACCUGCCGCCACGUGUCUUGUUAUACUGUUAAGUUUGAAUGUACAAUAAACGUGCGAAAUCUA